Long non-coding RNA from Corythoichthys intestinalis (scribbled pipefish), 985 nucleotides. RefSeq lists it as uncharacterized. The record is from RefSeq and is a predicted model, not a curated record. The transcript has 3 exons. NCBI's taxonomy places the organism in Eukaryota, Metazoa, Chordata, Actinopteri, Syngnathiformes, Syngnathidae.
ACGUCUUAAACAUGACGUUUUAUUGUCAAGAAUCACUUCCGACAGACGCCAGGAGGCGAUACAAUUUAAAAUGAGCCUGUAUUGGCUUUGAAAUCUGCCCAUACAAAGUCGCAGCUGAUAGCUGGAUGAACAAUCCUAAGGAAUGGCCUGCAGUGGAGAAUGGAAACAUAUAUAACUACCUCAUAAAGUCACCCAGGUUAUUUAGCAGAGAAGCCAUGGAAAACUAAAAGUCCUUGGAGGCUCAUUCAUUUUUGUACAUCUGGUUAUGUUCAGACUGUAGAACACAUAAAGUCAACGAAUGACACAUACAUCUUAAGAGCUUCUGUGCGACAUUCAUGGCGGGUAACAGAUGAGCCUCAUCAUACCUGGGUGGCUGUGAAAAACAAUGGGACAGUAGUCACAGCUCAUUGCACGUGCAUGGCAGGCCUAGGUGAGACGUGCAGCCAUGUAGGUGCCAUGCUUUUCAAGAUUGAAGCUGCAGUUCGACUGGGCUACACUUCCUUGGCAUGCACUGAUGUGCCAUUCCCUUUGAAUACCAAACUUGACUUGAAUCCAGGCCAUAUGCAUUUCACACAGAUACAGUUUCAGAUGUCCGUGUGCAAUGCUACAUAUGGUGACCUUAUCCAUUGGUCACCAAAGUUCUGUGUAGUGAAACGUGUACAUCGCAAAGAGAAUUUCAUUGCCAGCAUGAUAGACAGGGUUGACGCUUUUUGGAGGAAGCACAUCCACAGCAGACUCUUGGCCCAGAAGAAAAAGAACGUUACGCCUGACACUUCCCAAAUGGACCAGACACUUUAUCGUGUGUGCAAAACUAACUCAGAAGAAGGGCCUAUGGUGGGAUGUGACUCAUGCAAUAACUGGUUUCACCUGCCAUGUUUGAAACUUAAAAGGCUGCCAAAAGCAAAGAAAUGGUAUUGCCAAGACUGCCGUAAAAAGAAAUGAGCUUGUUUAGAUUUUGUUGUUUUUGUUUACAUAUCUAAAUAUU